UUUACAACUCCCAAACCCCUGUGAACAUACCACUUGUUGCCUCGGCGGAUCAGCCCGCUCCCGGUAAAACGGGACGGCCCGCCAGAGGACCCCUAAACUCUGUUUCUAUAUGUAACUUCUGAGUAAAACCAUAAAUAAAUCAAAACUUUCAACAACGGAUCUCUUGGUUCUGGCAUCGAUGAAGAACGCAGCAAAAUGCGAUAAGUAAUGUGAAUUGCAGAAUUCAGUGAAUCAUCGAAUCUUUGAACGCACAUUGCGCCCGCCAGUAUUCUGGCGGGCAUGCCUGUUCGAGCGUCAUUUCAACCCUCAAGCACAGCUUGGUGUUGGGACUCGCGUUAAUUCGCGUUCCUCAAAUUGAUUGGCGGUCACGUCGAGCUUCCAUAGCGUAGUAGUAAAACCCUCGUUACUGGUAAUCGUCGCGGCCACGCCGUUAAACCCCAACUUCUGAAUGUUGACCUCGGAUCAGGUAGGAAUACCCGCUGAACUUAAGCAUAUCAAUAAGCGGAGGAAAAGAAACCAACAGGGAUUGCCCUAGUAACGGCGAGUGAAGCGGCAACAGCUCAAAUUUGAAAUCUGGCUCUCGGGCCCGAGUUGUAAUUUGUAGAGGAUACUUUUGAUGCGGUGCCUUCCGAGUUCCCUGGAACGGGACGCCAUAGAGGGUGAGAGCCCCGUCUGGUUGGAUGCCAAAUCUCUGUAAAGUUCCUUCAACGAGUCGAGUAGUUUGGGAAUGCUGCUCUAAAUGGGAGGUAUAUGUCUUCUAAAGCUAAAUACCGGCCAGAGACCGAUAGCGCACAAGUAGAGUGAUCGAAAGAUGAAAAGCACUUUGAAAAGAGAGUUAAAAAGUACGUGAAAUUGUUGAAAGGGAAGCGUUUAUGACCAGACUUGGGCUUGGUUAAUCAUCUGGGGUUCUCCCCAGUGCACUUUUCCAGUCCAGGCCAGCAUCAGUUUUCCCCGGGGGAUAAAGGCGGCGGGAAUGUGGCUCUCUUCGGGGAGUGUUAUAGCCCACCGUGUAAUACCCUGGGGGGGACUGAGGUUCGCGCAUCUGCAAGGAUGCUGGCGUAAU
Molecule: ribosomal RNA, 1063 nt
Filed under: Fusarium oxysporum f. sp. benincasae
Lineage: Eukaryota; Fungi; Ascomycota; Sordariomycetes; Hypocreales; Nectriaceae
Description: eukaryotic LSU rRNA
Rfam family: Eukaryotic large subunit ribosomal RNA (bases 453-1063)
Source: RNAcentral